UUCUGCUGACGCGGGCACUUGCUAGACUCCAGGUCUAGGGUGACGCUUCGGCCGGGAACUGAGACACCUGAUCGCAGGCUCCGCGCCCCCCAUCACCCCAAUUCUGUCGUUAGCGAAGGAAGGAAGGCUUCCUCUAAGGAAAUUCGACUGCCAAAGACACUGGGGCUUAUAAGGACUUAAUCAAAAUAGAAGUGAUUUUUCAGUUUAAUGGUCAAGCAAGGGCAAGAUUCAGAGAAGUGCCCAGCUGGGCAUUUCUUGUCGCCCUGGACUUAGGGGGCGGAAGCCUCUGCUCAUUAGAGACACGGGCGCGAAUCCUUCCAGCAGGCAGAACAUUUUUAUUAAACUUGACUUUUAGGUCUGUGACUUUGCCUAUGUUUCCGUGACGCCGAAUUGCAGCCUGGUUGGGGAUGGAUUUCAGAAUCCAGGGCUACACCGGGAGUGCCCUCCCCACCGCCAACGGAGCACCCUCCCGGCUUCAGGAAGUAGAAGGGGCAGGAGUCACUGGUGCCUCGCCUGACUCCCACUCUCAACUCUGCUCCCGGACAUUCCUUCCUUCUGGAACGCUCUAUAUGCUGACAGUUAUCACUAGAGUUAUGCACAUUUAUUUUUAUUCAC
Molecule: long non-coding RNA, 615 nt
Organism: Suricata suricatta (meerkat)
Lineage: Eukaryota; Metazoa; Chordata; Mammalia; Carnivora; Herpestidae
Exons: 4
Source: RefSeq, a predicted model, not a curated record